GCCCGGGUGGCGAAAUGGUAGACGCGCAGUCUUGAGGUGGCUGUGAAGCAAUUCAUGGAGGUUCAAGUCCUCUCCCGGGCACCA
RNAcentral lists this transfer RNA (84 nucleotides) under Minisyncoccota bacterium. RNAcentral describes it as "tRNA-Leu". It matches the Rfam family "tRNA". Rfam says of the family: Transfer RNA (tRNA) molecules are approximately 80 nucleotides in length. Their secondary structure includes four short double-helical elements and three loops (D, anti-codon, and T loops). Lineage: Bacteria; Bacillati; Minisyncoccota. The record is from RNAcentral.